Molecule: long non-coding RNA, 341 nt
Organism: Centruroides sculpturatus (bark scorpion)
Lineage: Eukaryota; Metazoa; Arthropoda; Arachnida; Scorpiones; Buthidae
Exons: 3
Source: RefSeq, a predicted model, not a curated record
AAGUUAUACAACUCGUUGCUAGAGAGAAAAGAAGGAAGAAUCUCUUUGAAACUGUAAGAGAAGAAUCGCAUGAAGAAUUGAUAACGAUGAAGAAAAAUUCCACGAAGGGUCGCCAUCUGUUAUUAGAGGAAGCUAUUAGUGUGAUGUAGGUUUAUCGAAGUUCACUCGACGAAGAUAUGAGAUAUAAUCUAAAACAAAUGUAGUUGGUUUUAUAUGCGAGAUCGGAAUUACGAUUGUUCGAUUGUUAUUGAAAUAAACUGUUAGAGGAUGAUACAGAAAUUACUUAAGGAUAAUUACUUGUAUACUUUUUAUCAUAAAUUUGGAUUAAUCAUGAGAGAGUA